Molecule: transfer RNA, 74 nt
Filed under: Phycisphaerae bacterium
Lineage: Bacteria; Pseudomonadati; Planctomycetota; Phycisphaerae
Also listed under: 5 other names
Description: tRNA-Val
Rfam family: tRNA
About the family: Transfer RNA (tRNA) molecules are approximately 80 nucleotides in length. Their secondary structure includes four short double-helical elements and three loops (D, anti-codon, and T loops).
Source: RNAcentral
GGGCGAUUAGCUCAGUUGGCUAGAGCGCCUGCUUUACACGCAGGAGGUCACAGGUUCAAGUCCUGUAUCGCCCA